UACGUAGGGGGCAAGCGUUGUCCGGAUUCAUUGGGCGUAAAGCGUCCGCAGGUGGCGAUUCAAGUCUGCGGUCAAAGACUGGGGCUUAACCCUGGAAAGGCCGUGGAAACUGAAUAGCUAGAGUGCAGUAGGGGUAGAGGGAAUUCCCAGUGUAGCGGUGAAAUGCGUAGAGAUUGGGAAGAACAUCGGUGGCGAAAGCGCUCUACUGGACCUCAUCUGACACUCAGGGACGAAAGCUAGGGGAGCGAAAGGG
Molecule: ribosomal RNA, 253 nt
Filed under: uncultured bacterium
Lineage: Bacteria
Description: partial 16S ribosomal RNA
Rfam family: Bacterial small subunit ribosomal RNA
Source: RNAcentral